This 30-nucleotide non-coding RNA is filed under the name Homo sapiens (human). The record is from RNAcentral. Lineage: Eukaryota; Metazoa; Chordata; Mammalia; Primates; Hominidae.
UGGGGACGGUGAGUGCUAGUAAUGUGGACC